RNAcentral lists this ribosomal RNA (484 nucleotides) under uncultured bacterium. Its description in RNAcentral is "partial 16S ribosomal RNA". It matches the Rfam family "Bacterial small subunit ribosomal RNA", at positions 30 to 507 of the family's 1533-position model. The record is from RNAcentral.
AUUGAACGCUGGCGGCAGGCCUAACACAUGCAAGUCGAGCGGAUGAAGGGAGCUUGCUCCUGGAUUCAGCGGCGGGCGGGUGAGUAAUGCCUAGGAAUCUGCCUGGUAGUGGGGGAUAACGUCCGGAAACGGGCGCUAAUACCGCAUACGUCCUGAGGGAGAAAGUGGGGGAUCUUCGGACCUCACGCUAUCAGAUGAGCCUAGGUCGGAUUAGCUAGUUGGUGGGGUAAAGGCCUACCAAGGCGACGAUCCGUAACUGGUCUGAGAGGAUGAUCAGUCACACUGGAACUGAGACACGGUCCAGACUCCUACGGGAGGCAGCAGUGGGGAAUAUUGGACAAUGGGCGAAAGCCUGAUCCAGCCAUGCCGCGUGUGUGAAGAAGGUCUUCGGAUUGUAAAGCACUUUAAGUUGGGAGGAAGGGCAGUAAGUUAAUACCUUGCUGUUUUGACGUUUCCAACAGAAUAAGCACCGGCUAACUUCGUG